This 452-nucleotide ribosomal RNA is filed under the name uncultured Geobacillus sp. Its description in RNAcentral is "bacterial SSU rRNA". It matches the Rfam family "Bacterial small subunit ribosomal RNA", at positions 929 to 1382 of the family's 1533-position model. Lineage: Bacteria; Bacillati; Bacillota; Bacilli; Caryophanales; Anoxybacillaceae. The record is from RNAcentral.
GCGGUGGAGCAUGUGGCUUAAUUCGAAGCAACGCGAAGAACCUUACCAGGUCUUGACAUCCCCUGACAACCCGAGAGAUCGGGCGUUCCCCUUCGGGGACAGGGUGACAGGUGGUGCAUGGUUGUCGUCAGCUCGUGUCGUGAGAUGUUGGGUUAAGUCCCGCAACGAGCGCAACCCUCGCCUCUAGUUGCCAGCAUUCGGUUGGGCACUCUAGAGGGACUGCCGGCGACAAGUCGGAGGAAGUGGGGAUGACGUCAAAUCAUCAUGCCCCUUAUGACCUGGGCUACACACGUGCUACAAUGGGCGGUACAAAGGGCUGCGAACCCGCGAGGGGGAGCGAAUCCCAAAAAGCCGCUCUCAGUUCGGAUUGCAGGCUGCAACUCGCCUGCAUGAAGCCGGAAUCGCUAGUAAUCGCGGAUCAGCAUGCCGCGGUGAAUACGUUCCCGGGCCUU